UUGAACGCUGGCGGCAUGCCUUACACAUGCAAGUCGAACGGCAGCGGGCCCUUCGGGGUGCCGGCGAGUGGCGAACGGGUGAGUAAUGCAUCGGAACGUACCCGGGAGAGGGGGAUAACCGGCCGAAAGGCUGGCUAAUACCGCAUGAACUCGGAAGAGCAAAGCGGGGGACCUUCGGGCCUCGCGCCCUCGGAGCGGCCGAUGGCCGAUUAGGCUAGUUGGUGGGGUAAAGGCCCACCAAGGCGACGAUCGGUAGCGGGUCGGAGGGGACGGUCCGCCACCCGGGGAUGGGGAACCGGCCCAGACCCCUAAGGGAGGCAGAAGGGGGAAUCUUGGACAAUGGGCGCAAGCCUGAUCCAGCAAUGCCGCGUGGGUGAAGAAGGCCUUCGGGUUGUAAAGCCCUUUCGGCGGGGAAGAAAUCGGUCAGGCGAAUAGUCUGGCCGGAUGACGGUACCCGCAGAAGAAGCACCGGCUAACUACGUG
Molecule: ribosomal RNA, 483 nt
Filed under: uncultured bacterium
Lineage: Bacteria
Description: partial 16S ribosomal RNA
Rfam family: Bacterial small subunit ribosomal RNA
Source: RNAcentral